UGGAGGGAAGGCUGCAGCUCCUGGGGGUGUGUUGGUGUGGGGCUAUAAGGUUUGUGCUGGGUCCCUGGAGCAGUGGGAACACCCCACAGGGAGAUGCACAUCAGGAAAUGGGUGCAUAAAAGGCCUGAAGUGUGACCAGCUUUGGUGAAGGGUUCCAUAGGAAAUAAUAUUUUUACUGAGAUUUUGGACAAUUUGAGGCUCCUUCUCGUGUCCUUUGCCCGAUGAACAUUCCCCUUUUCAAGAGCUUGGGGAAUGCAGAGCUCACACAAUGAAAAUCCCUGAUUAUUAUAUCUCUUUUCUGUUCUUUGAUGUUGUCAUCCCUGCAGGAGUCAGAGGAAGAGAAUAUGUGUGACCUGCCUGGCUUUAACGUUGUGCCAGGAGCAAUGCCAUGGGGAAGCUGGUCAGAGGAGCAUCUGAGAAGUGUGUGGUACAUCAGGGAUGUCCUACUACUGAUCUUUGCACAGAGAUGAAAAAGUAUCAGUUUGCAUGGCCUGAAUGUCUGGCUCGGGACAUUCUGCAUUGCACGAGAUGUGCUGAGUUCAUCUGGCUCUGAAAUAUCAUCUCUGCACCUUAGCCAGGAACAGCAUCAGAGUUCUGAACAGAUUCAUCAAAAUCAGUCAUAACCCAGAGGCAAACCUUGGCAAUACACAUCGGUGGCAGGUUUUUCUGUUUGAAAGGAAGCUUGGCACAAUGUCCAUUGUCUUCUCCAUUUGUGAAAGACCAAGCGGAGUCUGGGCAGGCUGAUAUGCAGAGCAAAACCUGAAAAUAUACUAGUGAUCCUGACCCUGGGGGAUGCAGAUAAACCCUACCAGAAGGAAUUUCUGGAAAGCUGAUCCUGGUUUACAUUAUCUUGAGUUUGGCUUUGGCAACUUCACCAGUCUUUUAUGAAAAAGCAAACAAAAAACUCAAACAAAAUCAGACAAAAACCCAAUCAAUCAAUCAAACAAACACACCCAGCAGCAAACCAAUCAAACAAA
Passer domesticus (house sparrow) is the source of this 977-nucleotide long non-coding RNA. RefSeq lists it as uncharacterized. The record is from RefSeq and is a predicted model, not a curated record. The transcript is spliced from 2 exons. NCBI's taxonomy places the organism in Eukaryota, Metazoa, Chordata, Aves, Passeriformes, Passeridae.